RNAcentral lists this ribosomal RNA (468 nucleotides) under uncultured bacterium. RNAcentral describes it as "partial 16S ribosomal RNA". It matches the Rfam family "Bacterial small subunit ribosomal RNA", at positions 28 to 507 of the family's 1533-position model. The record is from RNAcentral.
GACGAACGCUGGCGGCGUGCUUAACACAUGCAAGUCGAACGGAAAGGCCCGGCUUUUGUGGGGUGCUCGAGUGGCGAACGGGGGAGUAACACGUGAGUAACCUGCCCUUGACUUUGGGAUAACUUCAGGAAACUGGGGCUAAUACCGGAUAGGAGCUCUUGCUGCAUGGUGGGGGUUGGAAAGUUUCGGCGGUUGGGGAUGGAAUCGCGGCUUAUCGGCUUGUUGGGUGGGUAGUGGCUUACCAAGGCUUUGAAGGGUAGCCGGCCUGGGAGGUUGGCCGGCCUCAUUACUCCUGCGGUACGGCCCAGACUCGUACCUGACGCAGCGGUGGAGAGUAUUGCACAGUAGGCCGGCGCCAGAUGUGACAACGCCCCGUGCGGGAAGCCGUGCUUCGAGUUGUGAACCGCUUUCGCCUGAGACGUGGCGUGAGUGACGGUACUGGGUAAAAAAGCACCGGCUAACUACGUG